CCUACGGGUGGCAGCAGUGAGGAAUAUUGGUCAAUGGGCGCUAGUCUGAACCAGCCAAGUAGCGUGAAGGAUGACUGCCCUAUGGGUUGUAAACUUCUUUUAUAUGGGAAUAAAGUGCAGCAUGUAUACUGCUUUGUAUGUACCUUAUGAAUAAGGAUCGGCUAACUCCGUGCCAGCAGCCGCGGUAAUACGGAGGAUCCGAGCGUUAUCCGGAUUUAUUGGGUUUAAAGGGAGCGUAGAUGGGUUGUUAAGUCAGUUGUGAAAGUUUGCGGCUCAACCGUAAAAUUGCAGUUGAUACUGGCAGUCUUGAGUACAGUUGAGGUAGGCGGAAUUCGUGGUGUAGCGGUGAAAUGCUUAGAUAUCACGAAGAACUCCGAUUGCGAAGGCAGCUUACUAGACUGCCACUGACAUUGAUGCUCGAAAGUGUGGGUAUCAAACAGGAUUAGAUACCCGGGUAGUC
This 460-nucleotide ribosomal RNA is filed under the name uncultured bacterium. Its description in RNAcentral is "partial 16S ribosomal RNA". It matches the Rfam family "Bacterial small subunit ribosomal RNA", at positions 338 to 795 of the family's 1533-position model. The record is from RNAcentral.